Molecule: long non-coding RNA, 1973 nt
Organism: Lagopus leucura (white-tailed ptarmigan)
Lineage: Eukaryota; Metazoa; Chordata; Aves; Galliformes; Phasianidae
Exons: 3
Source: RefSeq, a predicted model, not a curated record
AUCACUUCUUGUGGAGCAUAUUGUAAGCCUACAGCAUUGUGGCAUCCAGGAAAGCAUUCAGAAGCAUGAGACAAAACGUAGAGAGUCUGCAGACUAAAGGCAAGCAACAAGCAGUGGAUGGACCAAAGAUAGUUCCCUCUGGACAUAGCAUACAGCAACUAAGAUUCAUGUUCAAAGGGUUCCAUGUUACAGUUUCAAACAACAGCUUACCCGCUGUGGAAAAAAAUACUGCAGAGACAUGCUUUAUGUGGACUUGGGGAACUGAAUUUUGCAAGAAUAAUAGCUGAAACUGGCCUUCAGACCUGCUAGCUGUAGUACUGGAAGAAGAUUGUGACCUUGAGUCAAGUCAAUGGAUGGUAAAUACAUUGUGCUUAAAAAACUGCUGGAGAACAUCAAGGAGAGAAGAAAACUGACCCAGUGUCUAAAUCUCUAGUUCUGGUCUCUCUUGAACAGUAGCUCAUUAUACCUACCUGAAAAGUGAGCACCAGGAUUUAUUCUUACUAAAGUGUCCUAAUUUUUAAGCUUUUUUUUUUUUUUUGUGAUGCCAAUUUCUGUCUUUUUUUCUGAUCAUGCUGUAAAACCUCCAACUCACUCCUCCCACCUUCAUAUCUCCAACCAUUUAAUUAACAUUCUCCCUUUCCAUCCUUCUGCAGAUAAUAAGCACAAGCUGUGAAAUAUCCCCCUUGAUUAUCAGAGCAGACUAGCAGUUUCCAGCCUGUUUUACACCUCAGCCUAUUGUUGUAUUCAGAAACUUAUUUUCAAAGCUUGCAUAGAGUAAGAGCACUCUAUGAAGUAGUGUUAAAGCCUUGUUUCAGGUACAGACAGGGUAUCUUCUGCUUCUCUCUCAUUUGCAAAGCUGCAGGAAGAAAUGUGAAAGGUCUGACAUUGGUUCUUGCUGAGUCCAUGUAGCCACCCCUCAGCUUUUCCUCAGCUCCCAUCGUUCUUCCUCUUGCUCUGGUUCCUGGGCUCUCACCUCUGCAGGCCUUCUGCUCAGGUCCCUUCCUCCAACAGAACUCUUUGCUUUCUAUGGGAUGCUUUUCUAUCUGUUCAGAAAACUCAUUUAAAGGCUUUCAUUCUUUGUGUUCCACUGCUCGUGUUCCUUCCUCAGUAUUCUUCUCAUUGCUGUGCCUAUGUUCUCCCCUAUGCCCCUCAGACCACCCUAUGGCUUUUCCUCUUUUUUUCUCUUCUUCCUAGACCCCCACUGCCAUUUCUAUCAUUCCUUCUCUUCUUGCUAAUUCAAAUCAACAAACAAAAAAUGCCUUUCACCCCAACUGCAUGAGAUUAUCCUCUGCCAUUGAAAGCUGACAGAUAGAAACUGUUUAAAUAUCUUUGUGGCUUUUGAAAGUGAAAAGGAAAAGAUUAAGCUGCAUUUACUGCUUUAAUUUGGAACUCAUGAGCACUACCAUAAUGCAGGAUUAGGUUCACACAGUUAUUUUUUAAAGUGCAUAACAAUGUUCCUAUUUGCUCAUCUAACAGAUCAUAGCAAUGCAGUCAUAACUUUUUACAGAUGACAAUGAUCCUUAGGCAGAAGCCUUCAAAAUAAAGCCUUUCUGAGUUUCCAGCUCUUAUAUAGUAAUUAUGUCUUGUACUACAUAUACAAUGGAAAUGGAUGAAUUCGGUCCAAAGAAACAGAUCUUUUCAAAGGAAAUCAGAGCAAGGGAAAGCGGCUCUGCGAUCUCAGAGUUCACAAAGAAAGCAGCUGAUCCUGCCUACACAGUGGGAAUUUCUUUUAAAAAGAAAAGUCUAAUUACAGCUGGCACUUUGGAGCCAAAUAAUUCUACUUUGCUGAAAAGUGACAUGAUUCUUCUGACACUGCAAGCAUGGGGCACGGUGUGCAGUAGUCCCCAUUCUCUCACUUCUCAUUCAAAUUAAAUACAAUGUUACAGGAUUUUUUUUUUAAUUUUUAAUGUCAGAAUUUCCUUCUAGAGUGUUGUGCAGGGGAGAGGGCCUAAAGAACAAUCAGGCCAGCCAAA